CCCUUAGGUGUCCUGGGCAGCACGCGUGCUACAAUGAUGCAUUCAACGAGUCUUGCCUUAACCGAAAGGUUCGGGUAAACUUUUGAAAUUGCAUCUUGUCGGGGCUUGAUCAUUGUAAUUUUUGAUCACAAACAAGGAAUUCCUUGUAAAUGUGAGUCAUCAACUUGCAUUGAAUACGUCCCUGCCCUUUGUACACACCGCCCGUCGCUUCUACCGAUGAAUGAUCCGGUGAACACUCUGGACUUGUUGUCUGUCGGAGCAAUCCAAAGACGAUAGGGAAGUUGUGUAAACCUUAUCAUUUAGAGGAAGAAGAAGUCGUAACA
Molecule: ribosomal RNA, 323 nt
Filed under: uncultured eukaryote
Lineage: Eukaryota
Description: partial 18S ribosomal RNA
Rfam family: Eukaryotic small subunit ribosomal RNA
Source: RNAcentral